UAGGGAAUCUUCCACAAUGGACGCAAGUCUGAUGGAGCAACGCCGCGUGAGUGAAGAAGGUUUUCGGAUCGUAAAGCUCUGUUGUUGGUGAAGAAGGAUAGAGGCAGUAACUGGUCUUUAUUUGACGGUAAUCAACCAGAAAGUCACGGCUAACUACGUGCCAGCAGCCGCGGUAAUACGUAGGUGGCAAGCGUUGUCCGGAUUUAUUGGGCGUAAAGCGAGCGCAGGCGGAAUGAUAAGUCUGAUGUGAAAGCCCACGGCUCAACCGUGGAACUGCAUCGGAAACUGUCAUUCUUGAGUGCAGAAGAGGGGGGUGGAAUUCCAUGUGUAGCGGUGGAAUGCGUAGAUAUAUGGAAGAACACCAGUGGCGAAGGCGGCUCUCUGGUCUGCAACUGACGCUGAGGCUCGAAAGCAUGGGUAGCGAACAGG
RNAcentral lists this ribosomal RNA (429 nucleotides) under bacterium. RNAcentral's name for it is "partial 16S ribosomal RNA". It matches the Rfam family "Bacterial small subunit ribosomal RNA", at positions 355 to 776 of the family's 1533-position model. The record is from RNAcentral.